CGGGGAGUAGCGCAGCGGUAGCGCACCUGCUUUGGGAGCAGGAGGUCGGGGGUUCAAAUCCCCUCUCCCCGA
RNAcentral lists this transfer RNA (72 nucleotides) under Acidimicrobiales bacterium. Its description in RNAcentral is "tRNA-Pro". It matches the Rfam family "tRNA". Rfam says of the family: Transfer RNA (tRNA) molecules are approximately 80 nucleotides in length. Lineage: Bacteria; Bacillati; Actinomycetota; Acidimicrobiia; Acidimicrobiales. RNAcentral also lists the same sequence under 2 other names. The record is from RNAcentral.